CCCCCAUGAUGUCCAGCACUGGGCUCUGAUCUCUGUUGAGGACACAGUGCCCCCUGGGACCUUUGACACCCCGGGGUCUGAGUGGGGG
Small nucleolar RNA from Kogia breviceps (pygmy sperm whale), 88 nucleotides. The record is from RefSeq and is a predicted model, not a curated record. NCBI's taxonomy places the organism in Eukaryota, Metazoa, Chordata, Mammalia, Artiodactyla, Physeteridae.